Molecule: small nuclear RNA, 104 nt
Organism: Nannospalax galili (Upper Galilee mountains blind mole rat)
Lineage: Eukaryota; Metazoa; Chordata; Mammalia; Rodentia; Spalacidae
Source: Ensembl
GUGCUCACGUCAGCAGCACAUAUACUAAAAUUGGAAUGAUACAGAGAUUAGCCUGGCCCCUGUGCAAGGAUGACAGGCAAAAUCAUGAAGCAGGCCAUAUUUUU